RNAcentral lists this small RNA (1227 nucleotides) under Arabidopsis thaliana (thale cress). RNAcentral's name for it is "ATSL102370". The record is from RNAcentral. Lineage: Eukaryota; Viridiplantae; Streptophyta; Magnoliopsida; Brassicales; Brassicaceae.
UUAAACAUAACCAGUGGAAGUUCGAUGCCACCUCAACAGAAAUUUAUAGGUGGUGUAUUAGAAUUUGGAAAAAAUGUCAAUUAAUCCUCCAAUUUUCAAAAAAUGGCCAUUUUAUACAUCAACUUCGUAUGCGGCCGUUUAAAACAUGAACUAAACGUUGACUAAUUUUUAAAACAUGAUCAUUCGUUAACCAGGCCAAAACAGACAUGCCGUUAUCAGUCAUUAACGGAACUUUUAACGUCCGUUAUCAUCCGUUAACGACUUUAUUAGUCAAGUUUCAAAUUGUGGCCAUUUUAAAUAUCAACUUCAUAUGUGGCCAUUUAAAACAUGAACUAAACGUUGACUGCCAAUUAAGACAUGAAAAAUUCAUUGACCAGGCCAAAAUAAACAUGUUGUUAUCAUUCAUUAAAAGAACUUAUAACAUUCCUUAUCACUUGUUAACGACUCUAUUAGUAUCCCUAAAACGAUUUUGUUUUGAGAAUAAUCAAAAGAAAAUCAGGAUUGUUUUCUAAAUGAAAAUCCCAACUCUCCAAAUCUAUUUCUACAACCGCCCAAACAAGAUGAACAAUCUUAUAAUGGGUCUUUAAUUUGCUUCCAUGAUUCCUUUUAAAAUUUAAAACAAAUAUAUAAACGAAAACACCUUUAUUUGCUUCCAAUUACUGGCACUGCGAUUAUCUCUAUAUCAAACUAUGUUCUUGGGUUCUGCUUAAAACUUUUUGAUAUGGAGAUUUCAUAUGGGAUUUUUUUUAUGUUCUUUCGAUUAUUCUCAAACGACGUCGUUUUGGACAGAUUAACAGUCAUUAACGGGUAAUAACGGGUUUCUAGGUUCUACUGAUAAAGACAUGUCUAUUUUGGCCUGGUCAAUGAAUUUUUCAUGUCUUAAAUGGCAGUCAACGUUUAGUUCAUGUUUUAAAUGGCCACAUAUGAAGUUGAUGUUUAAAAUGGCCACAAUUUGAAACUUGACUAAUAAAGUUAACGGAUGAUAACGGACGUUAGAAGUUUCGUUAAUGACUGAUAACGGCAUGUCUGUUUUGGCCUGCUCAACUAAUGAUCAUGUUUUAAAAAUUAGUCAACGUUUAGUUCAUGUUUUAAACGGCCGCAUAUGAAGUUGAUGUAUAAAAUGACCAUUUUUUGAAAGUUGGAGGAUUAAAUGACAUUUUUCCCAUUAGAAUUUAGAAUUAGUAUGACACAUGCAAAGUUUACCGAUUAUUUACCGGUUUUCAUUUU